GAUGAACGCUGGCGGCGUGCCUAAUACAUGCAAGUCGAACGAGGUUUUGUUGAUUGAAUUCUUCGGAAUGAUUUCUUUAAAGCCGAGUGGCGGACGGGUGAGUAACACGUGGGUAACCUGCCCUUAAGUGGGGGAUAACAUUUGGAAACAGAUGCUAAUACCGCAUAAACCUUCGGACCACAUGGUCCGGAGUUGAAAGGCGGCUUUCGAGCUGUCGCUUUUGGAUGGACCCGCGGCGUAUUAG
Molecule: ribosomal RNA, 244 nt
Filed under: uncultured bacterium
Lineage: Bacteria
Description: partial 16S ribosomal RNA
Rfam family: Bacterial small subunit ribosomal RNA
Source: RNAcentral